UACGGGGGGUGCGAGCGUUGUCCGGAAUCACUGGGCGUAAAGGGCGCGUAGGUGGUUUGAUAAGGGUGUGGUGAAAGCCCGGGGCUCAACCCCGGGUCUGCCGUGCCGACUGUCAAACUCGAGGGCUGUAGAGGCAGACGGAAUUCCGGGUGUAGCGGUGGAAUGCGUAGAGAUCCGGAAGAAGACCGGUGGCGAAGGCGGUCUGCUGGGCAGUUUCUGACACUGAUGCGCGACAGCGUGGGGAGCAAACAGG
This 253-nucleotide ribosomal RNA is filed under the name uncultured bacterium. Its description in RNAcentral is "partial 16S ribosomal RNA". It matches the Rfam family "Bacterial small subunit ribosomal RNA", at positions 524 to 776 of the family's 1533-position model. The record is from RNAcentral.